AGCCUGCCGACAGAGAGGGCUGGUGGUCU
This 29-nucleotide small RNA is filed under the name Bombyx mori (domestic silkworm). Its description in RNAcentral is "ovarian small RNA-12094". The record is from RNAcentral. Lineage: Eukaryota; Metazoa; Arthropoda; Insecta; Lepidoptera; Bombycidae.